This 457-nucleotide ribosomal RNA is filed under the name uncultured bacterium. RNAcentral's name for it is "partial 16S ribosomal RNA". It matches the Rfam family "Bacterial small subunit ribosomal RNA", at positions 338 to 795 of the family's 1533-position model. The record is from RNAcentral.
CCUACGGGUGGCUGCAGUGGGGAAUAUUGCACAAUGGGGGAAACCCUGAUGCAGCGACGCCGCGUGAGUGAAGAAGUAUUUCGGUAUGUAAAGCUCUAUCAGCAGGGAAGAAACCCACCCUCCGGGGUGGCUGACGGUACCUGACUAAGAAGCCCCGGCUCACUACGUGCCAGCAGCCGCGGUAAUACGGAGGUGGCAAGCGUUAUCCGGAUUUACUUGGUGUAAAGGGAGCGAAGGUGGCAAGGCAAGGCAGGUGUGAAAACCCGGGGCCCAACCCCGGGAGUGCGUUUGAAACUGUCUGGCUGGAGUGCAGGAGAGGUAAGUGGAAUUCCAGGUGUAGCAGUGAAAUGCGUAGAUAUUAGGAGGAACACCAGUGGCGAAGGCGACUAUCUGGACUAUAACUGACGCUGAGGCUCGAAAGCGUGGGGAGCAAACAGGAUUAGAUACCCUGGUAGUC